Molecule: ribosomal RNA, 496 nt
Filed under: uncultured bacterium
Lineage: Bacteria
Description: partial 16S ribosomal RNA
Rfam family: Bacterial small subunit ribosomal RNA
Source: RNAcentral
GAUGAACGCUGGCGGCGUGCCUAAUACAUGCAAGUCGAGCGAACGGACGAGAAGCUUGCUUCUCUGAUGUUAGCGGCGGACGGGUGAGUAACACGUGGAUAACCUACCUAUAAGACUGGGAUAACUUCGGGAAACCGGAGCUAAUACCGGAUGAUAUUUUGAACCGCAUGGUUCAAAAGUGAAAGACGGUCUUGCUGUCACUUAUAGAUGGAUCCGCGCUGCAUUAGCUAGUUGGUAAGGUAACGGAUUACCAAGGCAACGAUGCAUAGCCGACCUGAGAGGGUGAUCGGCCACACUGGAACUGAGACACGGUCCAGACUCCUACGGGAGGCAGCAGUAGGGAAUCUUCCGCAAUGGGCGAAAGCCUGACGGAGCAACGCCGCGUGAGUGAUGAAGGUCUUCGGAUCGUAAAACUCUGUUAUUAGGGAAGAACAUAUGUGUAAGUAACUGUGCACAUCUUGACGGUACCUAAUCAGAAAGCCACGGCUAACUACGU